AUCUAAAUAGUUUAUUUAAAAUAUUGAUUUGUGGUGUCAAUGAAAUGAGGGCUAUCAUUUUAGAUC
This 66-nucleotide transfer RNA is filed under the name Bactrocera carambolae (carambola fruit fly). RNAcentral's name for it is "tRNA-His". The record is from RNAcentral. Lineage: Eukaryota; Metazoa; Arthropoda; Insecta; Diptera; Tephritidae.